GGAGAGAUGGCUGAGUGGUCGAAAGCGACAGAUUGCUAAUCCGUUGUACGAGAAAACCGUACCGAGGGUUCGAAUCCCUCUCUCUCCG
RNAcentral lists this transfer RNA (88 nucleotides) under Staurastrum punctulatum. RNAcentral describes it as "tRNA-Ser". It matches the Rfam family "tRNA". From Rfam's summary of the family: Transfer RNA (tRNA) molecules are approximately 80 nucleotides in length. Their secondary structure includes four short double-helical elements and three loops (D, anti-codon, and T loops). Further hydrogen bonds mediate the characteristic L-shaped molecular structure. tRNAs have two regions of fundamental functional importance: the anti-codon, which is responsible for specific mRNA codon recognition, and the 3' end, to which the tRNAs corresponding amino acid is attached (by aminoacyl-tRNA synthetases). tRNAs cope with the degeneracy of the genetic code in two manners: having more than one tRNA (with a specific anti-codon) for a particular amino acid; and 'wobble' base-pairing, i.e. permitting non-standard base-pairing at the 3rd anti-codon position. Lineage: Eukaryota; Viridiplantae; Streptophyta; Zygnematophyceae; Desmidiales; Desmidiaceae. The record is from RNAcentral.